ACUAACUGGAGGACCGAACCGACUAAUGUUGAAAAAUUAGCGGAUGACUUGUGGCUGGGGGUGAAAGGCCAAUCAAACCGGGAGAUAGCUGGUUCUCCCCGAAAGCUAUUUAGGUAGCGCCUCGUGAAUUCAUCUCCGGGGGUAGAGCACUGUUUCGGCAAGGGGGUCAUCCCGACUUACCAACCCGAUGCAAACUGCGAAUACCGGAGAAUGUUAUCACGGGAGACACACGGCGGGUGCUAACGUCCGUCGUGAAGAGGGAAACAACCCAGACCGCCAGCUAAGGUCCCAAAGUCAUGGUUAAGUGGGAAACGAUGUGGGAAGGCCCAGACAGCCAGGAUGUUGGCUUAGAAGCAGCCAUCAUUUAAAGAAAGCGUAAUAGCUCACUGGUCGAGUCGGCCUGCGCGGAAGAUGUAACGGGGCUAAACCAUG
RNAcentral lists this ribosomal RNA (432 nucleotides) under Escherichia coli. RNAcentral's name for it is "partial 23S ribosomal RNA". It matches the Rfam family "Bacterial large subunit ribosomal RNA", at positions 761 to 1191 of the family's 2925-position model. Lineage: Bacteria; Pseudomonadati; Pseudomonadota; Gammaproteobacteria; Enterobacterales; Enterobacteriaceae. The record is from RNAcentral.